This 497-nucleotide ribosomal RNA is filed under the name uncultured bacterium. Its description in RNAcentral is "partial 16S ribosomal RNA". It matches the Rfam family "Bacterial small subunit ribosomal RNA", at positions 28 to 507 of the family's 1533-position model. The record is from RNAcentral.
GAUGAACGCUGGCGGCGUGCCUAAUACAUGCAAGUCGAACGAACAGACAAGAAGCUUGUUCUCUUGACGUUAGCGGCGGGCGGGUGAGUAACGCGUGGAUAACCUACCAAUAAGACGGGGAUGACAUCGGAAAGCCGGAUAUAAUACCAGAUAAUACAAUGAACCGCAGGGAUCAAGAGGGAAAGACAUCUUUGCUGUCAGUAAUAGCUGGAUCCGCGCCGGAUUAGCUAGUUGGUAAGGUAACAGCCAACCAAGGCAACGAUGCGUAGCCGAGCUGAGGGGGUGAUCGGCCACACUGGAACUGAGACACGGUCCAGACUCCUACGGGAGGCAGCAGUCGGGAAUCUUCCGCAAUGGGCGAAAGCCUGACGCAGCAACGCCGCGUGAGUGAUGAAGGUCUUCGGAUCGUAAAACCCUGUUAUUAGGGAAGAACAACUGUGUACGUAACUAUGCACGUCUUGACGGUACCUAAAGAAAAAGCCCCGGCUAACUACGUG